UUUCCGUUUUCUCUCCCAAGUCCUCCAACAAUUUUCAUUUACUUCCAUUCCAACAACUUUCUCAAUCUCCGGCAGAGCAGAAGAGAUUACAAAGCUUACCGAUAAUGUCCAAGAACGACGAGCCGGUCGUCGGAAUCCCACUUUACGACGGCAACAACGCCUAUCAGGCUGGCCAGAUCCCUUCCAACGCCAUUUUUGGCGAUCCCCAGGGGGUUCCUAUCCACCAAACCAUGUACCGCGACACUCCUGCUCCCUUCUACUGUGUUUAUUGUGGAAAUUCCGGCCUCACCGCCGUCAGAUCAAAGUUAAGUUCAGCUGCUGUGGUUGGUUGUAUGAUGCCAUUUAUGUUGGGAGUAUGCUUUCUUUGUCCUUCAAUGGACUGCCUUUGGCAUAAGUAUCACUAUUGCCCCAGCUGCAAGGAGAAGGUUGGUGAUUUUGAGAAAUUGGAUAGGUGUGCUGUGAUGGAUCCUCCACACUGGACACAGCCAAGCUUCGCACUGCCUGCUUGAUUUUGACGAGCUGCUAUUUUCCCG
RNAcentral lists this unclassified non-coding RNA (533 nucleotides) under Hevea brasiliensis (rubber tree). Lineage: Eukaryota; Viridiplantae; Streptophyta; Magnoliopsida; Malpighiales; Euphorbiaceae. The record is from RNAcentral.